GAUUAACGCUGGCGGCGUGCCUAACACAUGCAAGUCGAACGAGGUAGCAAUACCUAGUGGCAGACGGGUGAGUAACGCGUGGUCAACCUUCCCUUUAGUGGGGGAUAACUAGCCGAAAGGUUAGCUAAUACCGCAUACGAUCUAUGAGUGGCAUCACGUAUAGAUGAAAGAAGCAAUUCGCUUAAGGACGGGACCGCGUCCCAUUAGUUAGUUGGUGGGGUAAUGGCCUACCAAGACUCCGAUGGGUAGCUGGUUUGAGAGAGCGACCAGCCACACU
RNAcentral lists this ribosomal RNA (277 nucleotides) under uncultured bacterium. RNAcentral's name for it is "partial 16S ribosomal RNA". It matches the Rfam family "Bacterial small subunit ribosomal RNA", at positions 28 to 314 of the family's 1533-position model. The record is from RNAcentral.